RNAcentral lists this ribosomal RNA (514 nucleotides) under uncultured bacterium. RNAcentral's name for it is "partial 16S ribosomal RNA". It matches the Rfam family "Bacterial small subunit ribosomal RNA", at positions 29 to 523 of the family's 1533-position model. The record is from RNAcentral.
AGCGAACGCUGGCGGCGUGCCUAACACAUGCAAGUCGAACGUGAGCGGAGCAAUCCUAGUAAAGUGGCGUACGGGUGAGUAACACGUAGGUAAUCUACCUUACAGUCUGGAAUAACCUGACGAAAGUCGGGCUAAUACUGGAUAGAGCGACGGAAGCCGUAACGGUUUUUUCGGGAAAGGGAGCUCGAUAAGAGCCUUCGCUGUAAGAUGAGCCUGCGUCUGAUUAGUUAGUUGGUGGGGUAAUGGCCUACCAAGACGAUGAUCAGUAGCUGGUCUGAGAGGAUGAUCAGCCAAACUGGAACUGAAACACGGUCCAGACUCCUACGGGAGGCAGCAGUGGGGAAUCUUGCGCAAUGGACGAAAGUCUGACGCAGCCACGCCGCGUGAGUGAAGAAGGCCUUCGGGUUGUAAAGCUCUGUCACCUGGGACGAAAACACUUACGGUUAAUAGCCGUAGGAAUUGACGGUACCAGGGGAGGAAGCACCGGCUAACUUCGUGCCAGCAGCCGCGGUAA